RNAcentral lists this non-coding RNA (85 nucleotides) under Eubacterium barkeri. RNAcentral describes it as "GEMM cis-regulatory element". It matches the Rfam family "c-di-GMP-I riboswitch aptamer". Rfam says of the family: GEMM was predicted in a large-scale screen for bacterial structured RNA regulatory elements. Genes associated with GEMM are involved in a diverse array of functions, including chemotaxis regulation, signal transduction, secretion and chitin. The record is from RNAcentral. Lineage: Bacteria; Bacillati; Bacillota; Clostridia; Eubacteriales; Eubacteriaceae.
CUAUGAUAAAGGCAAAACAGCCGAAAGGCUGUGACGCAAAGCUUAAGGGCCUACGUCCAGCAGGAUAUGGCAGCCAGUUACCGGA